This 71-nucleotide transfer RNA is filed under the name Panagrolaimus superbus. It matches the Rfam family "tRNA". Rfam says of the family: Transfer RNA (tRNA) molecules are approximately 80 nucleotides in length. RNAcentral also lists the same sequence under 6 other names. Lineage: Eukaryota; Metazoa; Nematoda; Chromadorea; Rhabditida; Panagrolaimidae. The record is from Rfam by way of RNAcentral.
UGGGGAAUAGUUUAAUGGUAGAACGACGGACUCUGACUCCGUUAGUCUUGGUUCGAAUCCAGGUUCCCCAG